This 72-nucleotide transfer RNA is filed under the name Desulfatiglandales bacterium. RNAcentral describes it as "tRNA-Thr". It matches the Rfam family "tRNA". Rfam says of the family: Transfer RNA (tRNA) molecules are approximately 80 nucleotides in length. Their secondary structure includes four short double-helical elements and three loops (D, anti-codon, and T loops). The record is from RNAcentral. Lineage: Bacteria; Pseudomonadati; Thermodesulfobacteriota; Desulfobacteria; Desulfatiglandales.
GCCAGGGUAGCUCAACGGCAGAGCUCCUGUUUUGUAAACAGGUGGUUGUCGGUUCGAAUCCGACCCCUGGCU